CGGGGUAGAGCUCAGUGGUAGAGCGCAGGCUUAGUGUACACAGUGUCCUGGGUUCUAUCCCCAGUACCUCCG
This 72-nucleotide transfer RNA is filed under the name Camelus bactrianus (Bactrian camel). It matches the Rfam family "tRNA". Rfam says of the family: Transfer RNA (tRNA) molecules are approximately 80 nucleotides in length. Their secondary structure includes four short double-helical elements and three loops (D, anti-codon, and T loops). The record is from Rfam by way of RNAcentral. RNAcentral also lists the same sequence under 2 other names. Lineage: Eukaryota; Metazoa; Chordata; Mammalia; Artiodactyla; Camelidae.